GGGCCCUUAGCUUAGUGGCAGAGCAUCCGGUUUGCAUCCGGAAGAUGGGGGUUCGAUUCCCCCAGGGUCCACCA
RNAcentral lists this transfer RNA (74 nucleotides) under bacterium. RNAcentral describes it as "tRNA-Ala". It matches the Rfam family "tRNA". From Rfam's summary of the family: Transfer RNA (tRNA) molecules are approximately 80 nucleotides in length. Their secondary structure includes four short double-helical elements and three loops (D, anti-codon, and T loops). The record is from RNAcentral.